ACCCACAAACUGCGAGAUCACGACCUGAGCUGAAGUCGGAAGCUUCACCGACUGAGCCACCCAGGCGCCUGGCUUAAUUGGCUUCUAAAGUAAAUACGCUUUCCCAUCACGUUGUGACUAUCUGCUCCAAGAGUCCUGCUUUUUACAAAGUGAAUUUUCUUAUCUCCAAGGCUUUAGGUGUCUUUCUCUUCUACUUUACUGGAGGGGGGGAGCCCCCCAAAACAACAUGCAGCCAAGCCUCCAGUGGCUCUCAAGAGGGCCAGAUCAGGGCUCCCAGGCACCUGUAAUAAGAACUCUUUGCCCUUCCCCCCAACUUGAAUGUCCCUUCGGAGAAAAGAUCACAGUGUGCCUUCGGGGUCAGGUAUGAGGAUUACGCGGAUAGUUGGUUCUCCAACCUGAUCAACCUUGGACUCCAUAGACGGUGUCCAUCCAGCGGCUGGUCAGGAUGACAGCCCAGAUGCAGAACCAGCGGGGAACACGGUGUCCCCACCCUCCGUUCCGCUGGGAAGACGGCUGAGGCAAAUCAAACAGGAAAAACGGCUGCAUUUGCUCAUAAGGAACAAGGAACAUUUUGCUAUUGAAGACCGGAGGUGACUGUAGUGGCUUCUCCAUUUGAAGGGCACUGGCAUCACUCAUUUCCACGGGAAAACGAAUUCCCUCCUGCUCAGUGGAGCUGGGGGGACCGAAGAUUUGCUGUCCCUGGCAUUUGUCGUCACCUGAGGUGGGUGGCCUUGUGCUUAGGGGGUGUGUGGGAGCUUCUGGCUGAGCAGAGGCAGGAGCAGGCCUGGAACUGAGUAGGGGCCCAGGGGGCAGCUACAUUGUCUGAGAAAUUACAGAACGGAGUCAAAGGGUAGGGGCAAAGGAAGUUCAGAAAUGGAGAAGUACGGCCUUGGGAAAGAACUGGCGGGGGGUGGGGGUGGCCAUGAUGGACAAGAUGCAGAUGCCGUGGAGAAAACUGCCCGGUGAGAAGUUUCCAACAUGGGGGAUUCACAUCACUGAUGUCAUUUGUACCUUCUCCAGGUGCUGAUCCUGAGAAUACUCCCUACCGAACUUCAGCGGCUGAUCUCCAUCUCAGAGUGUGCUUCCCAGAGAACCCAACCUGGGACACCUCCAAUGACACCACUCUCCAGAAGAGUUAGACAGAUGCCCUCAAAGGAGCCAUCCUGCUGUCCCCAGCUAUUGUUAGGAGAUGUGAAGCCACGUCUAACUCCUGCCUCGUUCUGCCUUCUCAGGCCACUCAUAAAUAGGUGGCUGAGAGAAGGGAAGGAGAAAUCAAGUCCCUGAUACUCACUGCCCAGGAACGACCACCACGCGUCUCACAGAAAGGCGUUGGAGAUGCCAUUGUUGCCAACAUCUCAAUUAACAACAUCUUCGCUGAAAUUACUUUUUGGCCUAAAUCACUUGGAUACAAAGAAUAUUAAAUGGUUGCCUUGCUCAAAAGUAUUUAUUAUGGAAAUAAUGUUAUUCCUUCUGCUACCCGCCCAGGUAGACCACAUACGUACUGGGGCGAGAAGAGCAGGUGUCUCCUCCCAGGACAAAGACAAGCACGGGACCAGAAAUGUCUGUCUUAAAUGCCACUGGCUCCAUGGGUCUUGCUUCUUGUGUUCACCGCUGUGCCUGGCACAGAACCUGGCACUCGAUAGGAGUGCCUUAUGAAGGAUUCACUUAAUUCAAGAGAGAAAGAAGGAGAGAUCCCAUCUUUGCCAUGAACCUCUUAUUGGCGCCCUGACCAGGAUGUCAUAUAUUCUAACCUGGAACCUUGAGCUCUUUGCUGGAAGCUAUUCUGUGUUCCUCUUUGUCUCCCUGCUCCCUGUCAAUGAGUCUGGUACACAGUAAGUGCUCCGGAAGGUAUGACUUGAGUGAAUGAAAGAAAGUUCUGCAGAUCAAGGGUAGUGUGCGAUCACCUAUUGCUGGGUAACAACCAACAUCAAAUCUUAGCAGCUCCAAUGGCCACCAUUACCUGCUCACCAUUCUGGGCUCAGCUGGGCAGUCCUCUGGGGGGUUACUCAUGAAGCUAUAGGGUCUGAGAAGGCCUCAUGCAAAUGUAUGGGGCUUCCAGCCAGGGAGCCUCAGCUCUCUUCCAUAUGACGUCUCUGGCAGACAAGGAUAGACGCCCAUGUAGCUGUGCUUCUGAAGCCUCUGCCUGGGUCACCUGUGCUGGUGCACAUAGGCCAGUGUGAGCCACUGGGAGAUGACCCAGGUCCUAGAUGCAGGGAGGAGAGAUUUAUUAGAGGCCACGAAUCACGUCACCUCUCAUGACCUACCAUGGGCACAUCAUCCCAGGUUUAGCCACUUGGGGCCAGAAUUCUGGAAGGAUUAUUCUUCCAGGGGUUCCCAGGUGACUGGAUCUUGGAUUUAGGUAUUUCAGAAGCAGUAAAACAACAACAUAACAAUUCGGGAAUAGUCGGGCAAAACCCUGCAGAGGAUCUACGUGCACACGCCCACAGUGGCAGCAGGUACAGAUGGCCUGGGGUGGGAGUUGCCACAAUGGUGGCCUGGACAACCUCCUCCUCUGAACUUAGCUCAGGAGUUCCAUCCCCUCCUGAUCCUCUAGGGGUAGUGGGCCUGGCCACCUAGAUUGGCAGCUGGGGGCAACUAUGCCAACAACUAGGCCUGGGGGCAGGAAGCCGUGAAUGAAGGGAUCAGAAGAAGAGGUGCGGGGACAGGUCUGGGAGCUGGAACCAGAAAGGUCUCAGCCAUACCCUUGGCUGCUGAAUUGGUCAGCCGAGGACACUGGCUGCUCUCCAUCCCCCAUAUACCCCAGUGCUUGGCCCACCGUGUACCCUGGAACCUCAGAGCUCGGCACCCAGGUCCUCUCUCCACUCAUCUUUUGGAACCCCUGACUGUCAUGCUCUGAGUAAUUAGUAAAAUUAGUUUGCCAUAAUUA
Molecule: long non-coding RNA, 2887 nt
Organism: Herpailurus yagouaroundi (jaguarundi)
Lineage: Eukaryota; Metazoa; Chordata; Mammalia; Carnivora; Felidae
Exons: 2
Source: RefSeq, a predicted model, not a curated record